GACGAACGCUGGCGGCGUGCUUAACACAUGCAAGUCGAACGGAAAGGCCCUGCUUUUGUGGGGUGCUCGAGUGGCGAACGGGUGAGUAACACGUGAGUAACCUGCCCUUGACUUUGGGAUAACUUCAGGAAACUGGGGCUAAUACCGGAUAGGAGCUCCUGCUGCAUGGUGGGGGUUGGAAAGUUUCGGCGGUUGGGGAUGGACUCGCGGCUUAUCAGCUUGUUGGUGGGGUAGUGGCUUACCAAGGCUUUGACGGGUAGCCGGCCUGAGAGGGUGACCGGCCACAUUGGGACUGAGAUACGGCCCAGACUCCUACGGGAGGCAGCAGUGGGGAAUAUUGCACAAUGGGCGGAAGCCUGAGGCAGCAACGCCGCGUGAGGGAUGACGGCCUUCGGGUUGUAAACCGCUUUCGCCUGUGACGAAGCGUGAGUGACGGUAAUGGGUAAAGAAGCACCGGCUAACUACGUG
RNAcentral lists this ribosomal RNA (468 nucleotides) under uncultured bacterium. RNAcentral's name for it is "partial 16S ribosomal RNA". It matches the Rfam family "Bacterial small subunit ribosomal RNA", at positions 28 to 507 of the family's 1533-position model. The record is from RNAcentral.